GUUCUGCGUAGUUUAGUGGUUAUGACGGGGCCUUGUCAUAAACCAGAUCGGCCCAGACCCGGGUUCAAUUCCCGGCGCGGAAG
RNAcentral lists this transfer RNA (83 nucleotides) under Malassezia restricta. RNAcentral describes it as "tRNA-Asp". It matches the Rfam family "tRNA". From Rfam's summary of the family: Transfer RNA (tRNA) molecules are approximately 80 nucleotides in length. Their secondary structure includes four short double-helical elements and three loops (D, anti-codon, and T loops). Lineage: Eukaryota; Fungi; Basidiomycota; Malasseziomycetes; Malasseziales; Malasseziaceae. The record is from RNAcentral.